CAGUAGUGAGGAAAGGUGUAUAGUUAAUAGCAUUACACUGUGACGUUAGCUACAGAAGAAGCACCGGCAAACUCCGUGCCAGCAGCCGCGGUAAUACGGAGGGUGCGAGCGUUAAUCGGAAUUACUGGGCGUAAAGCGCGCGUAGGCGGUUAUUUAAGUGAGGUGUGAAAUCCCUGGGCUCAACCUAGGAACUGCAUUUCAAACUGGAUAACUUGAGUAUGUCAGAGGGUAUUGGAAUUUCCCGUGUAGCAGUGAAAUGCGUAGAUAUGGGAAGGAACAUCAGUGGCGAAGGCGAAUACCUGGGAUAAUACUGACGCUGAGGUGCGAAAGCGUGGGGAGCAAACGGGAUUAGAUACCCUGGUAG
Molecule: ribosomal RNA, 364 nt
Filed under: uncultured bacterium
Lineage: Bacteria
Description: bacterial SSU rRNA
Rfam family: Bacterial small subunit ribosomal RNA
Source: RNAcentral